UCCGUCCAUCGAUCCAUUCACCCAGUCUUUCUCCCUCUUGCGCGAACCCUAGAGUUCCUACGCACCCACAGCCGCGACCUCCAACCAUCUCCCUCCCUCAGAUCUCGAUCCGCCGCCGCCCCAAUCGUCGAUGACCCUCACCGUAGACAAGAGCGAGCCCAUGCCCAGAUUCACGAGUGGAGCCCGGCGAAGCUGCCCGCAAACUGCUCCUCUUCCCCACCCCCGAUUCCUCUCCAAUCUUCGCCGCCGCCGCCGAUCCCCACCCCCACCGCCGACCUCGUCUCCCCGUCCUCGGCCCCAUCCCCACCUCCGGCCGACCUCCCUCCUCAUCUCGUCCAUCCACCCAUGGAAACCUCCUUUUCCACGGAUCCACACACCCACCCACGCCCACCCAUGGAUGGAUGGAUGGAUGGGGCGCACCAGUUCCGGCGACGGCGACGCCGGAUCCACACCCACCUACACAAUGGAGGCCGGCCGCAUCGGGAUCCAUCGCCUGCUCUCGGUCUGGUGCGGCACAGCAGACCACACUGGAGAUUGCUACUGCGGUGGCCAUCGACGACGGCGCAUCUCUGGCGGGACCUAGAUGCCCAAGGCAUGCAUCCGUGGUUGGUGACCUUGCAUGCGGCCCUUGCCGGAGGCUGGUUGGCUGGAUGGACGGGCAUCCGGGAUGCUGGUGUUUGCAGCCUUAUAUCUCAGGGAAGACGCCUGCUAAAAUGUGUGCAUGCCAAGAUUCCUACAGUUCCAGACUGAUUAGUGAGAUUACAGUUAUAAGGGUGGAUCGAUUAGCAUACUCUGCCUACUGAAUGCCAGUCUGAGAGGUAGCAUCUGCUAUCGUCAGGUUAUAUAAGCUCGUGUGGAUGGGAGGUGGAUGCCAGCACGGAUCCGGCGUCUCCGACCUCGGCAUCCACAAGGAGGAGCGGCGACAAUUACAUACCCAACCAUGGGGCAGCCUCCCUCUACCUCUCUCACAUUCCCUGAUUUUGCUGCUGCUCUAAAUUCAUUUUCACUUGAUUGAAUCUAGUGCUACUGCUCUAAAUUCACUUGCAUGUUUGACUAAAUCAUAAAAGAAUGAAUAGGUGUUGGCUUUAGAGUGCUAGUUUGUAUACUCUAGCAGGCGAAGCACGUCCGUGCAAGCUAACUUCAACAAAGCAGACUAGUAGCUUAAUUGAUUCUUUGUUAGCUAGUAGUACUUGGACGUGCAGUCUCACGUAUACGUACGAGCUUAGUAGAGCUAGCGACUGAUCGAUCUGACUUCUUGCGGCAGACCGUAGCGACUUCGUAACUCAGGGAACUGAAAAACGAUGGAGAUUUUGUGGAUAGCCACAGGGGCGUGUCACUCCUAGCUUUCUUUGUAUUGCUUUGAUCGACUUAGAAAGAUUACAAUGGCUGGGUGCACUUAUGAUGCACUUAGUGUGCCACCACCAGAUGACUGACUGAAUGUGUAUUUGUACUAGCGCGUGCCGACGAAGCAGGAACACACCCAAUGCCCUGGCAGGAACACCGAGUUGUGGAAAGUAGCGGCUCGCAAUCGUGGUCAGGGACCGACCGUCCGAGAGUAGACCGUGGAGACGUGGAGUUAAGUCCAGGCAGUUCCUUGUAAUAUUUUGGAUCUCAUUUUAGUUAUGAUGAAUUGAUAUAUAAUGAUGUUUGAUCUGCUUCUGCUUGAUUCCUUACUUGUUGUAGGACAUUGCAGUCACGUAGAUUUUGCUGGUUGUGGCAUUGCUUGAAAUUGGAUUAUUGGAUAGCUGGAGCUGCGUAGGAUUUCUUCUAAUUUACUCCAGGAGACCAAGACCAAGCUUCAUGAAUUCAGGGCGCCGCCCAGGUGGUCAUGUGGGAUCCUCUCGAACAGCCCGUGCUCGCUGUCGACUUCGAUGGCAGGGUCACCCGCUCCAUCGGCUCCCUCUCCGGCGGGAUGUACUAGUCAGAUUUCAUCCCCUACGUCAACUCAUACACAGAGAUCUACAUAUUGGCCAAGUGUUCGUCGAUCUGCAAGCCUGUUUAAGAGCUGGAUUGGCCGGUCCAAUUCAACACGGAGCUGUGUGUAUGUUGAAACUUUUCGUCCAUCAAGCGUCGCCUCGCCGCCUCCGACCGCCCCGACGACGCCCUUGCCUUCGCCAACCUCCACUCCUCCAUGAGGUGAUUUGUUUCUUGCAAUUUGGAAGAGGAAGAUGAUGAAGCGUGGUUGUUAUCUAUCAAUAUGCCUUGUGUUCUGGUUGUACUUCAUAGCUAGUUACAUUGUAUUCUGUACUGGUCUGGUUGUAUGAACACUAUGUAAAGAUUGUAAUAGGCUAAUUUUGGCUAUCAUUUCAAGCAUAUAGUUUUGUUUCACUUGAAAUAUUUGUCAUCUGUGUACUGUGAAAAUGUGAGAAAUAAAAAGCUGAUGAGUUGGACCUA
Triticum aestivum (bread wheat) is the source of this 2394-nucleotide long non-coding RNA. RefSeq lists it as uncharacterized. NCBI's taxonomy places the organism in Eukaryota, Viridiplantae, Streptophyta, Magnoliopsida, Poales, Poaceae. The transcript is spliced from 7 exons. The record is from RefSeq and is a predicted model, not a curated record.